Molecule: long non-coding RNA, 521 nt
Organism: Leptinotarsa decemlineata (Colorado potato beetle)
Lineage: Eukaryota; Metazoa; Arthropoda; Insecta; Coleoptera; Chrysomelidae
Source: RefSeq, a predicted model, not a curated record
GUUGGCAAUAUAACCAACAGUAAUGUCAUCCUUACGUCAAUCAAAAUAGCAACAUUUCGUAGUAUGAAAACUUGUUUGUCGUAUAGUAUACAUACUGGUAUUUCUGAGAUUUCCACCAGCAGUCUAUUCAUACAUCGAUUGGGGAAGAGAAAAGAGGAAACCUAAGAAGACAUGUUUUAUUUUCUGAUUGUCGUAAUCCUUGUAUGGGUCUUUGUAUUGUGUAUAGUAUAUGAUUACAGGAAUAAUAUGACACGGAUAAAUGGAAGGAUAUGUAGGAAACCACCUCGUCCGUGCAGUAUUUGCGAAAAAUAUUUUGAAGAGUACAUCAAAGAUACGGGUUUGGAAAAACUUAAAAAGCGUCGUUAUUAGUAACUGAAAAAUGUAUCCGCAUUUCUGUUAUGUUAUGCUACCCCAUCUUUGAUUCACUGAAUGUAAUCAAAACGUCUUACCGAUACAUUUGAUUCCUGUUUUCGUGGUAGGUUAGAUGAUAUUCAAUAAAAUGUGAUUUUGAGUUUCAAAGA